This 253-nucleotide ribosomal RNA is filed under the name uncultured bacterium. RNAcentral describes it as "partial 16S ribosomal RNA". It matches the Rfam family "Bacterial small subunit ribosomal RNA", at positions 524 to 776 of the family's 1533-position model. The record is from RNAcentral.
UACAGAGGGGGCAAGCGUUGUUCGGAAUUACUGGGCGUAAAGGGCGCGUAGGCGGCCCGCUAAGUCGAACGUGAAAUCCCCGGGCUCAACCCAGGAACUGCGUCCGAUACUGGUUGGCUUGAAUCCGGGAGAGGGAUGUGGAAUUCCAGGUGUAGCGGUGAAAUGCGUAGAUAUCUGGAGGAACACCGGUGGCGAAGGCGACAUCCUGGACCGGUAUUGACGCUGAGGCGCGAAAGCCAGGGGAGCAAACGGG